Non-coding RNA from Camellia sinensis, 2168 nucleotides. The record is from RefSeq and is a predicted model, not a curated record. Lineage: Eukaryota; Viridiplantae; Streptophyta; Magnoliopsida; Ericales; Theaceae.
UUUAUUUUUUAUUUUAUUAUCUGAACCUAGGAUUAACAUUUCAAGGCAUGGGUCUCUGUUCUAUAUUUCUCUCACCUGAGUUUAUUAAUCUUUAAGUUGGUUCUUCUGUGAACACUUCCCAUAUAUUAGCAAAUUGUCCGAUCAACCUUGUCAUUUAGUGUUUUUUGAUUGUGCAAGAGUUUAAUUGGAUUGGAGUUCAUAGUACUUGUAUAGGAAAAAUUGUUCCUGAAUAAACACAUACUAUUUGUCAGAUCAGAUAUAAUAAAUGUGUUGGAUUUCUCAUCUGUUUUGAGAUUUGAAUGCUAGCGUAUGCUUAGCACAUAUUAACGUGGAGAAAACAAGUAAGGUAAUAUAGAACAUCAUUAAAUCCAUUGACAUUCCAGGCACUGAAGUUAGCCACUGAAAAUGCAGCAGUCACUGAUCCUGUUCUGAAAUUUGAGAGGGAAUUUAAUUCUGAGCUUGAGAGUCUCGGGCCAAUUUUGAGCAGCAGUUCUCAAGCCGAGCCAUAUUUAACUCAUCCUGCUCAGUGGAUUCUCAGUGUUGGAAGGGACCAGUAAGUUAGUUCUGACACUUUGCUCCGUCGUUUUUUGGGUGUAGACAAUAUUAUUUAAGAUGCCUUGCUUGCAUUUGACUGUAUGUAUAGGAUAGAGAGUUUUGUCCCUUGUUUGAUUCUUGAGUUUUGACUGUAUGUAUAAACUCGUUACACUGCCAACCACCAACAUAUAUAAACUCAUGACACUGUAUUUUGGGUUUGAAUUUGGGGUUAGAGAUAUAGUUUGUAUUAAGGUGGGGGUUCAAAGAGAAAAUGGGGUUUCAUUUUGUUGGAUGGGGGUUCAAAGAAGUGGGGGGGCCAAAGUAAAAUGGUGGGGGCAAAUAGCAGCCCUCAUAAUUUAAGAUGUCAAAUAUGGAAUGCCUUAAAACUCACAUUAGCAUUUCAUCACAGAAAUAUGGAUUUCAACAUAUAACUUACAAAAAAGCAAAAAGAAAAAAAAGGCUUUCAAUAUAUGAAAGCAAGAAGAAUGUUUUCAUAGCUAGGAGCAAGACUAAAGUGAGUGAAAUUUAGGUAAAAAUGAAGGAGCAUAGAUCCUAUUGGCUGAAAGCUAUCUUUGACAUAUCGAGUGUCUAAAUGUAAUCAUCCUUACUGCAACAAAUGUUACCGAGCUGGACGGGCAAUGGGAUUGUCUGAUUGAAUUAACAAAUUCUAGUGGCCUUCUAGCAUUGGCGGAACCGUUUGUAUCUAAGCGCUUGAGAACCACUCAGUCAGAUGUACGUGCCAAGUUUACUAUUCUGUACUUUGUUAUUUUUUUUUUCAGUUUCCAUGAUUUUGUUAUUGUAUGGUAGUCUCUGCUAGAAAAGAAGAUUUUUUGUUUUGCCUUCGUGUUUGCCACUUGAUUUCUGCCCACCCUUGAAUUUCCCUUCAUUAUACACACAAUAAUUUUCCCUUUUCUUGUUAUGUGUUGUUUGGGUUUUACACAACUGGCAGGAAAACGAAAUAUAAAUAACAAAAGGAUAAAUUUCCCUCCAUUUCACUGUCGGUUAGUCUGUACAAAAACUGAACAUAGAAAUGCAAAAGGGGGCCAAAAAUGGUUCAAUCAAGAGCCUGGUUAUAAAUAAGGAAAGAUAAUAGAGCAUUAUUUAAUAAAACAAAUAGCAAGAGCAAUAUUUUUGCUCAAUUUAGAAAUUGAGCAAAAAUAGAAGAAAGCUGAAGGAGGACAUAGGUUGAGAUUGUACAAAAGGAGGUGAUUGGCUUAGACUAAUUGAGGACAUGACUUUUAAUAGGAACUAACCGGAGAAAACAGUUCAACCCCAAGUAAUUGGGAUGGAGGCUUGUUAAGUUGAGUCAAUUUGAGAUUGAAGAAUAAAUUGUGUUGCUUAUUGUCAUGAAAAGGAUAAUAAUAUUGAGAAGAUUUUUAUGUGGUUUUUGUUAGGAGUGAGGCUUUGACAUUGCUUUAAUAGCCCUCCUCGAGACUUUUUUCCUCACCAGCUCAAAGAAUUUUGUGGAUGAAUUCUAAGUCAGAUUUAAUAUUUAUAUUUCACUUAUUUUAUUUUAUGUUUUUUUUUAUUUUUUGGUGGCAUGUUUCCCUUUAUGCUCUAGUUUAUACAUGCAUGGGUACUCUCACACUUAGGUCCAUGAGAGUACUUAACUCAAUAUUUGGGUAUUGCAAGCU